AAAGACAAGUUGCACGCUGCUGGAAUUUUCAGCUGAAGGUCACGCACCAGGGGAUUGCAGUGGCAAAGCUAGGCUAGGUCUUGGAGGCUGGUGUAAGGCGAUGCGGGAAGGCAGGAGGCUGAUGGAGAGACUGGGGGGAAGAAAAGCCGAAAUGGAUUCACGGUGCCUUGGAUGGAGGAUGAGAGGGGAACUGCAAGCUCCUUCAACUCGUUCUGUCCGGUGAGAAGUGAUCAAGCUUGGGCUGACAAGAGGCUCAGGGAGCCCUCACGUUCUUUGCUUUUUUACCUGCCAAUCAAACUGCUACAAGACAACACCCUGAUCUGGCAUGGACAUCGUGGGUCCAAGCCUGUAGCCCUAAAUCGGAUAAUCUCUGCAGCUGAUAACAAGCAAAAGAGAAGCCAGGCAACAGCCAUAUUACAGAAGAAAACAAUCAACUCCGAGAUCCAACUUAGAAAUAUCGUUUCACUCAAGAUAAGGCUCGUGGUUUAGGAGAUUCUGGCCCAACUUGCCUCAUUCUCAGACUUCUGUCAUCUGUUUUCAAAACCCAAAGAGGACCCCUUUGUCCUUUGGUAGUUCCUCACACUUUGCCAGCCUCUGGGCCUUAAGGAAACUUGUCAAGAGCUCAGUGCCUGGGAAGGACAGUCCUCUCAUCACAAUGAGUCAGCACCACAGUCUCAGGGACUUACAGAACUGGAUGCCCACUUUGAAACGCGAAGAACACACUAAUUGAAAGACCUUUGUAUAAUUGAAUGAUAGGGUAAGAUCGUCUCAAAUUAUUUCUCCAACCUCUCUCGUCAGUGGUUAUAUUAAGCAGAAG
This 817-nucleotide long non-coding RNA is filed under the name Ictidomys tridecemlineatus (thirteen-lined ground squirrel). Its description in RNAcentral is "lncRNA (ENSSTOG00000031350.1)". The stretch from base 61 to 333 matches the Rfam family "SOX2 overlapping transcript exon 3". The record is from RNAcentral. Lineage: Eukaryota; Metazoa; Chordata; Mammalia; Rodentia; Sciuridae.